RNAcentral lists this ribosomal RNA (254 nucleotides) under uncultured bacterium. RNAcentral's name for it is "partial 16S ribosomal RNA". It matches the Rfam family "Bacterial small subunit ribosomal RNA", at positions 524 to 776 of the family's 1533-position model. The record is from RNAcentral.
UACGUAGGGAGCGAGCGUUGUCCGGAUUCAUUGGGCGUAAAGAGCUCGUAGGCGGCUUGGUAAGUCGGAUGUGAAACCUCCAGGCUCAACCUGGAGUCGCCAUCCGAUACUGCUAUGGCUAGAGUCCGGUAGGGGCCCACGGAAUUCCUGGUGUAGCGGUGAAAUGCGCAGAUAUCGGGAAGAACACCCGUGGCGAAGGCGGCUCUCUGGGACGGUACUGACGCUGAGACGCGAAAGCGUGGGGAGCGAACAGG